UAGGAUGAGGUGUUUAGGUAGCACGAAGAAUUUUGAAUUCUUAAGUGUAGGUUCAAUUCCUAUUGUCCUAG
RNAcentral lists this transfer RNA (71 nucleotides) under Mus spretus (western wild mouse). RNAcentral describes it as "tRNA-Gln". It matches the Rfam family "tRNA". Rfam says of the family: Transfer RNA (tRNA) molecules are approximately 80 nucleotides in length. Their secondary structure includes four short double-helical elements and three loops (D, anti-codon, and T loops). Lineage: Eukaryota; Metazoa; Chordata; Mammalia; Rodentia; Muridae. The record is from RNAcentral.